CCUACGGGUGGCUGCAGUCGAGAAUCAUUCACAAUGGGGGAAACCCUGAUGGUGCGACGCCGCGUGGGGGAAUGAAGGUCUUCGGAUUGUAAACCCCUGUCAUGUGGGAGCAAAUUAAAAAGAUAGUACCACAAGAGGAAGAGACGGCUAAAUCUGUGCCAGCAGCCGCGGUAAUACAGAGGUCUCAAGCGUUGUUCGGAAUCACUGGGCGUAAAGGGUGCGUAGGCUGUUUCGUAAGUCGGGUGUGAAAGGCGCGGGCUCAACCCGCGGACGGCCCAUGAUACUGCGAGACUAGAGUAAUGGAGGGGGAACCGGAAUUCUCGGGGUAGCAGUGAAAUGCGUAGAUAUCGAGAGGAACACUCGUGGCGAAGGCGGGUUCCUGGACAUUAACUGACGCUGAGGCACGAAGGCCAGGGGAGCGAAAGGGAUUAGAUACCCUUGUAGUC
Molecule: ribosomal RNA, 446 nt
Filed under: uncultured bacterium
Lineage: Bacteria
Description: partial 16S ribosomal RNA
Rfam family: Bacterial small subunit ribosomal RNA
Source: RNAcentral